RNAcentral lists this long non-coding RNA (231 nucleotides) under Elaeis guineensis (African oil palm). RNAcentral describes it as "long non-coding RNA (EGUI_LNC061008)". Lineage: Eukaryota; Viridiplantae; Streptophyta; Magnoliopsida; Arecales; Arecaceae. The record is from RNAcentral.
GCGUGUUUUCGAUGCAACGAACCACUAUGACUAGCCGAAAAUAAUCAACACCGAUAGCACACAUGCACAUCUACAAUAGUGGAAGACCUUGGACUUAAUAUUUGUGGAGAGAUUUGGAUUUAGAUCUCAUCUAAUCAAUCAUCACAUGACUCAUUUAAUUGUCAUGGGCUAAAUCAAAUCCCUAAGCAACCAUAUUUGAAACUUAAUCUUCCAAAUUGACCAAGUAAGUGG